GCCUAGCUAGCUCAGUUGGUAGAGCUUGUGACUCUCAAACUCAGGGUUGUGAGUACAAGCCCCACGUUGGCCA
Molecule: transfer RNA, 73 nt
Filed under: Ailuropoda melanoleuca (giant panda)
Lineage: Eukaryota; Metazoa; Chordata; Mammalia; Carnivora; Ursidae
Rfam family: tRNA
About the family: Transfer RNA (tRNA) molecules are approximately 80 nucleotides in length.
Source: Rfam by way of RNAcentral